This 466-nucleotide ribosomal RNA is filed under the name uncultured bacterium. Its description in RNAcentral is "bacterial SSU rRNA". It matches the Rfam family "Bacterial small subunit ribosomal RNA", at positions 328 to 792 of the family's 1533-position model. The record is from RNAcentral.
UCACCAGACUCCUACGGGAGGCAGCAGUGAGGAAUAUUGGUCAAUGGGCGAGAGCCUGAACCAGCCAAGUCGCGUGAGGGAUGACUGCCCUAUGGGUUGUAAACCUCUUUUGUAUGGGGGGAAUAAGCUUUACGAGUAGAGUGAUGACAGUACCAUACGAAUAAGCAUCGGCUAACUCCGUGCCAGCAGCCGCGGUAAUACGGAGGAUGCGAGCGUUAUCCGGAUUUAUUGGGUUUAAAGGGUGCGUAGGCGGGAUGCCAGGUCAGCGGGAAAAAUGCGGUGCUCAACGCCGUCGAGCCGUUGAAACUGGCGUUCUUGAGUGGGCGAGAAGUAUGCGGAAUGCGUGGUGUAGCGGUGAAAUGCAUAGAUAUCACGCAGAACUCCGAUUGCGAAGGCAGCAUACCGGCGCCCUACUGACGCUGAGGCACGAAAGCGUGGGUAUCGAACAGGAUUAGAUACCCCAGUA